RNAcentral lists this ribosomal RNA (437 nucleotides) under Theileria ovis. RNAcentral's name for it is "SSU rRNA". It matches the Rfam family "Eukaryotic small subunit ribosomal RNA", at positions 451 to 924 of the family's 1831-position model. The record is from RNAcentral. Lineage: Eukaryota; Apicomplexa; Aconoidasida; Piroplasmida; Theileriidae.
UUGACACAGGGAGGUAGUGACAAGAAAUAACAAUACGGGGCUUAAUGUCUUGUAAUUGGAAUGAUGGGAAUUUAAACCUCUUCCAGAGUAUCAAUUGGAGGGCAAGUCUGGUGCCAGCAGCCGCGGUAAUUCCAGCUCCAAUAGCGUAUAUUAAAAUUGUUGCAGUUAAAAAGCUCGUAGUUGAAUUUCUGCUGCAUUGCUUUUGCUCCUUUACGAGUCUUUGCAUUGUGGCUUAUUUCGGACUUUGUUUUACAAUGUCCGGAUGUUUACUUUGAGAAAAUUAGAGUGCUCAAAGCAGGCUUUCGCCUUGAAUAGUUUAGCAUGGAAUAAUAAAGUAGGACUUUGGUUCUAUUUUGUUGGUUUUAGGUACCAAAGUAAUGGUUAAUAGGAACAGUUGGGGGCAUUCGUAUUUAACUGUCAGAGGUGAAAUUCUUAGA